UUCUGUCUGUGCCACACCAUACAUACAACCGUCGGCCUGCCACUGAAACCAAAUUGCCACCACCACCACUACCAGCUAUAAGUAAUGCCUCGACGAUGGUGCUGCACAACGAUGAGUAUUAAACUGGGUCGCAGUAAGGCAUUGCUGCUGCUAUAACCAAUGAAAUCUUGCGUCGUGGGUCGUUGCUAUUGCUUGCUUCACUAUCAAAGCUAGACAAUGCUCUGUGUACACAGCAUUACACCCUCCUGAC
This 250-nucleotide long non-coding RNA is filed under the name Olea europaea (common olive). Its description in RNAcentral is "long non-coding RNA (OEUR_LNC014481)". Lineage: Eukaryota; Viridiplantae; Streptophyta; Magnoliopsida; Lamiales; Oleaceae. The record is from RNAcentral.